GUGCCAGCCGCCGCGGUAAUACAGAGGGUGCAAGCGUUAAUCGGAAUUACUGGGCGUAAAGCGUGCGUAGGUGGUUCUUUAAGUCAGGUGUGAAAUCCCUGGGCUCAACCUGGGAACUGCAUUCGGAUACUGAAGAGCUAGAGUGUGAUAGAGGAUAGUGGAAUUCCCGGUGUAGCGGCGAAAUGCGUAGAUAUCGGGAGGAACACCAGUNGNGAAGGCGGNUAUCUGGAUCAACACUGACACUNAGGCACAAAAGCGUNGGUAGCAAAC
This 270-nucleotide ribosomal RNA is filed under the name unidentified soil organism R6-106. Its description in RNAcentral is "partial 16S ribosomal RNA". It matches the Rfam family "Bacterial small subunit ribosomal RNA", at positions 505 to 773 of the family's 1533-position model. The record is from RNAcentral.